Molecule: ribosomal RNA, 492 nt
Filed under: uncultured bacterium
Lineage: Bacteria
Description: partial 16S ribosomal RNA
Rfam family: Bacterial small subunit ribosomal RNA
Source: RNAcentral
AGUGAACGCUGGCGGCGGGCCUAACACAUGCAAGUCGAACGGCAACACCGUAAGAGCGUGCUGUUACGGAUGGGGAGUGGCGGACGGGAGAGGCAUACAUCGGAAUCUACUUUUUCGUGGGGGAUAACGUAGGGUAACUUACGACAAUACCGCAUACGACGUACGGGUGAGAGCGGGGGAUAUUCUGACCUUGCGCGGUUGGAUGAGCGGAUGUCGGAGUAGCUAGUUGGCGGGGGAAAGACCGACCAAGGCGACGAUCCGUGGCUGGGGUGCGAGGAGGAUCAGCCACGUUGGAGCGGAGGCGCGGCCGAGACGCCUACGGGAGGCAGCAGUGGGGAAUAUUGGACAGCGGGGGGAAGCAUGAUCCAGCCAUACCGCGUGGGUGAAGAAGGCGUUCGGGGUGUAAAGCCCUUUUGUUGGGAGAGAAAAGCAGCAGGUUAAUACCCCGCUGUGCUGACGGUACCCAAAGAAGAAGCACCGGCUAACUUCGUG